AACGAACGCUGGCGGCAUGCCUAACACAUGCAAGUCGAACGAGACCUUCGGGUCUAGUGGCGCACGGGUGCGUAACGCGUGGGAACCUGAAUUUAGGUUCGGACUAACUCAGAGAAAUUUGAGCUAAUACCGGAUGAUGUCUUCGGACCAAAGAUUUAUCGCCUUUGGAUGGGCCCGCGUUGGAUUAGCUAGUUGGUGGGGUAAAGGCUUACUAAGGCGACGAUCCAUAGCUGGUCUGAGAGGAUGAUUAGCCACACUGGGACUGAGACACGGCCCAGACUCCUACGGGAGGCAGCAGUGGGGAAUAUUGGACAAUGGGCGAAGUCCUGAUCCAGCAAUGCCGCGUGAGUGAUGAAGGCCGUAGAGUUGUAAAGCUCUUUUACCCGAGAUGAUAAUGACAGUAUCGGGAGAAUAAGCUCCGGCUAACUCCGUG
Molecule: ribosomal RNA, 433 nt
Filed under: uncultured bacterium
Lineage: Bacteria
Description: partial 16S ribosomal RNA
Rfam family: Bacterial small subunit ribosomal RNA
Source: RNAcentral